This is a long non-coding RNA of Plodia interpunctella (Indianmeal moth), 476 nucleotides long. RefSeq lists it as uncharacterized. The transcript is spliced from 3 exons. Lineage: Eukaryota; Metazoa; Arthropoda; Insecta; Lepidoptera; Pyralidae. The record is from RefSeq and is a predicted model, not a curated record.
UAUUAUAUGUAGGUAGAUUUAUUGUAACUGUCAGUCAAGAAAUAAACGCAUAGUGAACGGUAAUUUGUUAACACUUCUUUCCGGAUUCCUUAUUGGCGACGAGAAUUGUGAUUGAAGAUGGUUGUCGAUCCAAAUAGAAGGGAAUCAGUUUAGGUCCCAAACUCUGAUAUUGACCAGAACGUAACCAACCGUAUUGGAGCAGGAUGGGCAAAAUGGAGACAAGUGAUGGGUGUAACGUGUGACCCUAAUAUUACCCUUAAAUUGAAAGGAAAAAUUUAUAAGGCAGUUAUCAGACCUGUCAUAUGUAUGGAUCUGAAUGUUGGGCGACGAAAAUGACGGACGAAAGGAAACUUCAUGCGACAGAGAUGCGAAUGCUGAGAUGGAUGUGCGGGUUAUAGGUUAGGCUGGUUCGGGCAUAUUUUAAGAAGAGAUGAAAAUCACGUCACUCAAAGGGCAUUAAAGAUGGAAAUAAAGGG